RNAcentral lists this ribosomal RNA (468 nucleotides) under uncultured bacterium. Its description in RNAcentral is "partial 16S ribosomal RNA". It matches the Rfam family "Bacterial small subunit ribosomal RNA", at positions 28 to 507 of the family's 1533-position model. The record is from RNAcentral.
GACGAACGCUGGCGGCGUGCUUAACACAUGCAAGUCGAGCGGAAAGGCCCUGCUUUUGUGGGGUGCUCGAGUGGCGAACGGGUGAGUAACACGUGAGUAACCUGCCCUUGACUUUGGGAUAACUUCAGGAAACUGGGGCUAAUACCGGAUAGGAGCUCCUGCUGCAUGGUGGGGGUUGGAAAGUUUCGGCGGUUGGGGAUGGACUCGCGGCUUAUCAGCUUGUUGGUGGGGUAGUGGCUUACCAAGGCUUUGACGGGUAGCCGGCCUGAGAGGGUGACCGGCCACAUUGGGACUGAGAUACGGCCCAGACUCCUACGGGAGGCAGCAGUGGAGAAUAUUGCACAAUGGGCGGAAGCCUGAUGCAGCAACGCCGCGUGCGGGAUGACGGCCUUCGGGUUGUAAACCGCUUUCGCCUGUGACGAAGCGUGAGUGACGGUAAUGGGUAAAGAAGCACCGGCUAACUACGUG